AUACAGGGUAGAGGCGCCAGUGUAAAGAGUAUUUAUUAGGAGCUGCAAGCUAUGAUUAAUAAAGAAAGGUGCAAUGGCCGAAGUUAGCUGACCGCAAGAAGGCUUUCUGGGUAUAUGUAUAAUAUGCAUAUAACUGUCACAUAACGUGGAGUGCUACAACUGAG
Molecule: non-coding RNA, 164 nt
Filed under: Clostridium colicanis 209318
Lineage: Bacteria; Bacillati; Bacillota; Clostridia; Eubacteriales; Clostridiaceae
Description: Lysine riboswitch aptamer
Rfam family: Lysine riboswitch aptamer
About the family: Riboswitches are metabolite binding domains within certain messenger RNAs that serve as precision sensors for their corresponding targets. Allosteric rearrangement of mRNA structure is mediated by ligand binding, and this results in modulation of gene expression.
Source: Rfam by way of RNAcentral